Molecule: ribosomal RNA, 404 nt
Filed under: uncultured Bacillota bacterium
Lineage: Bacteria; Bacillati; Bacillota
Description: bacterial SSU rRNA
Rfam family: Bacterial small subunit ribosomal RNA
Source: RNAcentral
UGGGGAAUAUUGCACAAUGGGCGAAAGCCUGAUGCAGCAACGCCGCGUGAAGGAAGAAGGCCUUCGGGUCGUAAACUUCUGUCCUUGGGGAAGAAAAAAAUGACGGUACCCAUGGAGGAAGCCCCGGCUAACUACGUGCCAGCAGCCGCGGUAAUACGUAGGGGGCAAGCGUUAUCCGGAAUUAUUGGGCGUAAAGAGUGCGUAGGUGGCAACUUAAGUCCAGGGUUUAAGGCAAUGGCUCAACCAUUGUAAGCCCUGGAAACUGGGUUGCUUGAGUGCAGGAGAGGAAAGCGGAAUUCCUAGUGUAGCGGUGAAAUGCGUAGAUAUUAGGAGGAACACCAGUGGCGAAGGCGGCUUUCUGGACUGUAACUGACACUGAGGCACGAAAGCGUGGGGAGCAAACA